UCCUUCUUCCUUCUUACUUCUUCCUUCUUGGUCCAUAGUUAAUCUUUGACUCUCAGAUUAUUUGCUUCUUCUUUUUUUCUUCUUUUGUUGUCAUUUUUCUUCGUUCUAUAUCUUUUACUUCCUCUCUCCUCCAGUCGCUCUCACCCUCAAAAACCAGAUCGAAAAACAUACCAAACACCAAACAACCAAAUCUGAAUCGUACCUUCGCCAUCCGUUUCGUCUUCCUUCUCUCUUAGCCUCUCACAUCCUGCUUCAUUUCCUAUGAAACCAAUCUUGGCCCAAAAUCCGUAAUACCCAAAUCAAAAAACCUAACACCUCAGCCCCAAAUACCUCCUCCAAUCUCACUUGCUCUCUCGACUUCUUGCUUAGCAAUCAGUUGCUUGUCGCACUCGAUUUCUGUACUUGCAAUCGAAAUCUUGUGGCUCGUUAGCAAUUGAAAGGGGCUUCUGGGGCGGAAGAGGAUUGCGCAUAUUGGGUCCAAGAAAGCUGAGAGAGGUAGUGAUGGCUCUUCUAUGGAAGGAAGAAGGUCUGGCCUUGUGCAUGAGAGUUCUUCUUCACAGAUUCGAGUUUCAGCUGUCCUGACAAAUGGUGCAUAUCUUUUGAACGUCGAUUGUGAUCACUACUUCAAUAACAGUAAAGCUGUUAAGGAAGCAAUGUGUUUCAUGAUGGACCCAGAUUAUGGGAAGAAGACCUGCUAUGUACAGUUCCCACAAGAAGAGGGCUGCUCUUAGUUCUUUUAAUUUGAGAUUCCAGGGCUCUUCAGAGAAAUUCAACCGAAGCUAUGAUGGAGGCAAGGGUUGUUGAUAUUCUAAAUGCAAUGGAACCACUUGCAUAUAGGAAAAUGGACUUUGAAGAAUUUUGUGCUGCUGCAAUUAGCACGCAUCAAUUGGAGGCCCUCGAAGGAUGGGAGCAGAUAGCAUCUACUGCUUUUUAAUUUGAGAUUCCAGGGCUGUCAAAAGAACUGAAUCGACCAUUCCCAUUUUCAAUAUGGAAGACAUUGACGAGUUAAGGUGAAGGAAAUCAACUAUUAUCAAUUAAACCUGAAGCCUUUGCUGAACUGAAGGUGAAGGAAAUCAAGAAUGGGCGGUUGGCAAUGACCUCAAUAUUUGGAUUCUUUGUUCAGGCUAUUGUAACUGGAAAAGGGCCAGUUGAGAACCUCUAUGACCACGUUGCUGAUCCCGUGGCCAACAAUGACCUCAAUGUUUGGAUUCUUUGUUCAUUCUUUUUUCUUUGUUCAGCUUCUUUUUGCUUGAACAACUUCUUUGUUUAUUGGCCAAAAGAAAAGAAAAGAAUACAAGAAAAAAGAAAAAAGAGAACUGUUUAUUUGUCUAAAUGCGGUGCACAUUCAGGUGCUCAUGUCAACAGAUGCAUGCUUUACUGCAAUUUAGGUAUAUCUAAACUAGAAUAAAUUAAGCAGACUGCUUCUAAAUGUCAAAACAGAAGUGAAUAAAAAUUCAAAACCAUGUUAUUAUCA
This is a long non-coding RNA of Rosa chinensis, 1474 nucleotides long. RefSeq lists it as uncharacterized. The record is from RefSeq and is a predicted model, not a curated record. The transcript is spliced from 5 exons. NCBI's taxonomy places the organism in Eukaryota, Viridiplantae, Streptophyta, Magnoliopsida, Rosales, Rosaceae.